CUCCAAAUAUUCAGAAGUUUUCCCUUCAAAUUUUCGCCCAACGUUUCCCCCUAAUUCUCAAAUUUCUAAUUAUUCAGUUUUCAACUCAUUUUGCCCUGAAAUUUCAAUCAGCUUUCGCCUAACAUUUUCCCCUGAUUCUCUAAUUUCUAAUUAUUCAAUUUUCAACUCAUUUUGCCCUGAAAUUUCAAUCAGCUACGGAGAAAUCUGCUACUCUGCAAUCUGCUUCCCAGAGAUAGCAAUAGCAAGAUGGAAAGCCUAAUAAUUUUCAUAGUCUCGAUUUUUUUAUUUAUUUGUGAAGAUUUAACCUUUUUGAUUGUGUUUAAAUUGUGAAGCCUGCAAGGAAAUUGGAUUCGACCACCGACAAAGUAAAGAAGCCACGUCGCUACCGCCGGGAACGGUUGCUUUUAGGUUCCACAAAUGUUACCACAAAUUGAAAUUACUCCUAAGAAGGAUUUGAAAAACAUGAGAACAUGAAUAAUGGCUUACUUUCUGUUGCAGCUGCUUCAACAAAUAGUGCUUAUGAAAUGGGAACAAAGAUGCAUUACAAAAGCUACUUCCCAGGGGUUAAGAUGGUGAGACCUUAAUGAUGAUUCUAGCAGUAGUAGUUGGACCUUAUCUUACAGGACCAAUAUGGUGGCAAAGAAUGCUUGUUGUAUUUAAGAAUCUGCAGGAAAGAGUGAUGGAUUUUUUGGAGGGUAUACAACUCUAUUAAAUAAAGAUUUAUAGGUUGCGUCGCAGAGAACAUUUGCUCAUUUGACAGCAAUAAGAGACUCACGUAUCUAAAGAAGCAAGCAUGUCUCGUGCAAAUAUGUUAUGCACUUUUGGAUAGAUAGGACUUUACAGUUUUUACUACAUGGAAGAUGAACAACACUUAAUAUGUUCAGUAUGCGUGUGAAAAAACACAUUACAUUUUGGCAUUAGAUACUUGGAAUUUUUGUUACUUAAAUAUGACAUUUUAUUUUAAUGAGUUGUUUAUGUAAUUUUGUUGGAUGAAUAA
Long non-coding RNA from Salvia splendens (bonfire salvia), 997 nucleotides. RefSeq lists it as uncharacterized. The transcript is spliced from 5 exons. NCBI's taxonomy places the organism in Eukaryota, Viridiplantae, Streptophyta, Magnoliopsida, Lamiales, Lamiaceae. The record is from RefSeq and is a predicted model, not a curated record.